CUAUGAAAUUAGUGUCAAUUAUUGAAAUUUAAAGAUCGUUACUUCUAUAUUUACUCGUACGUUACACAUAUUUUUAUCUCUUAGCUUUUAUGUAAAAAAAAUAUUUCAAACUAUAAUAAAACAGUGUCGAAAACAAUUUUAGACGAAUUUAAAACUAAUAAAAAUUUUUUAUUACCUUAAACGAAUCCGUAUAAAAGAAGCUUGAAAAUUCAUCAACAGCAUCAAACCACCAAUAGUCUCAAUAACAGUAACAAAACAGCAAAAAAAAAACAAAAUCAAAAAUGCAAUUCCUUUUCUUCUUCGUAUUCAUCUGCACCAUUGUAGUAAUUAUCGCUGGCAAUCCACACAAGAAUUUAACCAGAAGCCUUGUGAAUGAAGCCGAAGAUUUUGAAAGUGCCGCAGGCAAAACUACCAAGGCACCAGUACAUAAUUAAUUAACAGAGACAAACAUCGAUGCUGCAAUGAAUUCAAAAUUUACAAAUUCACUUUACAAACACCAAAUGUUAUUAAUUUUCUAAUGGAAAAUUGAAAAUUAUUUGAUCAAUUAUUAAAGAUAUGAUGAUAUAAAUAAA
Molecule: long non-coding RNA, 572 nt
Organism: Leptopilina heterotoma
Lineage: Eukaryota; Metazoa; Arthropoda; Insecta; Hymenoptera; Figitidae
Exons: 3
Source: RefSeq, a predicted model, not a curated record